This 1556-nucleotide ribosomal RNA is filed under the name Salmonella enterica. RNAcentral's name for it is "16S ribosomal RNA". It matches the Rfam family "Bacterial small subunit ribosomal RNA". Lineage: Bacteria; Pseudomonadati; Pseudomonadota; Gammaproteobacteria; Enterobacterales; Enterobacteriaceae. RNAcentral also lists the same sequence under 1 other name. The record is from RNAcentral.
UUAAAUUGAAGAGUUUGAUCAUGGCUCAGAUUGAACGCUGGCGGCAGGCCUAACACAUGCAAGUCGAACGGUAACAGGAAGCAGCUUGCUGCUUUGCUGACGAGUGGCGGACGGGUGAGUAAUGUCUGGGAAACUGCCUGAUGGAGGGGGAUAACUACUGGAAACGGUGGCUAAUACCGCAUAACGUCGCAAGACCAAAGAGGGGGACCUUCGGGCCUCUUGCCAUCAGAUGUGCCCAGAUGGGAUUAGCUUGUUGGUGAGGUAACGGCUCACCAAGGCGACGAUCCCUAGCUGGUCUGAGAGGAUGACCAGCCACACUGGAACUGAGACACGGUCCAGACUCCUACGGGAGGCAGCAGUGGGGAAUAUUGCACAAUGGGCGCAAGCCUGAUGCAGCCAUGCCGCGUGUAUGAAGAAGGCCUUCGGGUUGUAAAGUACUUUCAGCGGGGAGGAAGGUGUUGUGGUUAAUAACCACAGCAAUUGACGUUACCCGCAGAAGAAGCACCGGCUAACUCCGUGCCAGCAGCCGCGGUAAUACGGAGGGUGCAAGCGUUAAUCGGAAUUACUGGGCGUAAAGCGCACGCAGGCGGUCUGUCAAGUCGGAUGUGAAAUCCCCGGGCUCAACCUGGGAACUGCAUUCGAAACUGGCAGGCUUGAGUCUUGUAGAGGGGGGUAGAAUUCCAGGUGUAGCGGUGAAAUGCGUAGAGAUCUGGAGGAAUACCGGUGGCGAAGGCGGCCCCCUGGACAAAGACUGACGCUCAGGUGCGAAAGCGUGGGGAGCAAACAGGAUUAGAUACCCUGGUAGUCCACGCCGUAAACGAUGUCUACUUGGAGGUUGUGCCCUUGAGGCGUGGCUUCCGGAGCUAACGCGUUAAGUAGACCGCCUGGGGAGUACGGCCGCAAGGUUAAAACUCAAAUGAAUUGACGGGGGCCCGCACAAGCGGUGGAGCAUGUGGUUUAAUUCGAUGCAACGCGAAGAACCUUACCUGGUCUUGACAUCCACGGAAGUUUUCAGAGAUGAGAAUGUGCCUUCGGGAACCGUGAGACAGGUGCUGCAUGGCUGUCGUCAGCUCGUGUUGUGAAAUGUUGGGUUAAGUCCCGCAACGAGCGCAACCCUUAUCCUUUGUUGCCAGCGAUUAGGUCGGGAACUCAAAGGAGACUGCCAGUGAUAAACUGGAGGAAGGUGGGGAUGACGUCAAGUCAUCAUGGCCCUUACGACCAGGGCUACACACGUGCUACAAUGGCGCAUACAAAGAGAAGCGACCUCGCGAGAGCAAGCGGACCUCAUAAAGUGCGUCGUAGUCCGGAUUGGAGUCUGCAACUCGACUCCAUGAAGUCGGAAUCGCUAGUAAUCGUGGAUCAGAAUGCCACGGUGAAUACGUUCCCGGGCCUUGUACACACCGCCCGUCACACCAUGGGAGUGGGUUGCAAAAGAAGUAGGUAGCUUAACCUUCGGGAGGGCGCUUACCACUUUGUGAUUCAUGACUGGGGUGAAGUCGUAACAAGGUAACCGUAGGGGAACCUGCGGUUGGAUCACCUCCUUACCUGAAAGAAGC